CAAACGCGAAAUGUGUUAUGACAUGCAAUCUUUGAGAAUCAUGAAAUCUUUGAACGCACCUUGUACCCGAGGCAACCGUCUUGGGUGUGUUUGUUUGAGCAACGCAACGACCUCGUCGCUUUUCGGAGUGGAUGGAUAUGAGAGCGCGCAAGAGACACGUUUUGCACUCUUCAAAUGGAUAGGGUUAGGGUGAGGUGUGGGCUAGGGAGCGAGUCUUGGGAUAAUUCCAACUGGACACGCACACGAGCUCGAUAGCAUCUCGCCCUUGCACUCUAUUACUAGUUAAACACGUUCUCAAAUCAAACAGGAUAACCCGCUGAACUUAA
RNAcentral lists this unclassified non-coding RNA (326 nucleotides) under uncultured fungus. Its description in RNAcentral is "sequence contains ITS1". The stretch from base 1 to 104 matches the Rfam family "5.8S ribosomal RNA", at positions 50 to 154 of the family's 154-position model. Lineage: Eukaryota; Fungi. The record is from RNAcentral.